Molecule: ribosomal RNA, 481 nt
Filed under: uncultured bacterium
Lineage: Bacteria
Description: partial 16S ribosomal RNA
Rfam family: Bacterial small subunit ribosomal RNA
Source: RNAcentral
AUUGAACGCUGGCGGCAUGCCUUACACAUGCAAGUCGAACGGUAACAGGUCUUCGGAUGCUGACGAGUGGCGCACGGGUGAGUAAUACAUCGGAACGUGCCCGAUCGUGGGGGAUAACGAAGCGAAAGCUUUGCUAAUACCGCAUACGAUCUACGGAUGAAAGCAGGGGACCGCAAGGCCUUGCGCGAACGGAGCGGCCGAUGGCAGAUUAGGUAGUUGGUGGGAUAAAAGCUUACCAAGCCGACGAUCUGUAGCUGGUCUGAGAGGACGACCAGCCACACUGGGACUGAGACACGGCCCAGACUCCUACGGGAGGCAGCAGUGGGGAAUUUUGGACAAUGGGCGAAAGCCUGAUCCAGCCAUGCCGCGUGCAGGAUGAAGGCCUUCGGGUUGUAAACUGCUUUUGUACGGAACGAAAAGACUCUGGUUAAUACCUGGGGUCCAUGACGGUACCGUAAGAAUAAGCACCGGCUAACUACGU